CAAGGAUAGAAAGUUGAAAGGACAAGUUGAUUAAUCUGGACGAGACUUUACGAUAAACUUCUCUCGUGAAGAACCGCGACAUGUAUACGAAAUACGAAUGUGAAUGCGAAUGCGGAUGCGGAUGCGGAUACGGAUACAAGCAUGGAUACGAAUACGAAUACGGAUACAAUUGACCUCGCACUCGACCUUUUAAAGACUCGAAAGUAGAAUAUGUAGCUCCAUCAUUGAGUGUCACUACCUCCGCGUUGUAAACCGAUGUACGUACACGCGU
This 271-nucleotide unclassified non-coding RNA is filed under the name Bombus terrestris (buff-tailed bumblebee). Its description in RNAcentral is "misc RNA ENSBTSG00005028862.1". Lineage: Eukaryota; Metazoa; Arthropoda; Insecta; Hymenoptera; Apidae. The record is from RNAcentral.